This is a non-coding RNA of Peromyscus maniculatus bairdii (prairie deer mouse), 668 nucleotides long. The record is from RefSeq and is a predicted model, not a curated record. NCBI's taxonomy places the organism in Eukaryota, Metazoa, Chordata, Mammalia, Rodentia, Cricetidae.
GCUCUUCAGAUCUGAGCCAGUUAGUCCUGAGUAAACAGCAUGGCAGAUGUAGCAAGAAAGACCAUGGCUAAACAAGGUGGAAGGAGAGAUCCAACUCACAAAUUCAGAGAACAUCUGACUCCUACAUGUCUACUUUCAGGAGAUGGUAUGUGCUCAGUAACAGACGCAGCACAUCAGCCUUUCUGCAGGAGGUAGAAGAGCAGCGGCUGGGCUGAACGAUGACAGCAGGACAACCAUUUAGACUCUGACACACAGCAGGACAACCAUUUAGACUCUGAAACGGGAGAGGGACUCCGCAACAACAGACAAUUAACCAGCAGUCCCCAAAACAACCCCAACUAAAGGAUUUCCUUUGGAGACUUAGGCCUUGCAUCUCAAAAGUGAAUUCUUCACAAAUAUUCUACCAAGGAAUACUGGUAAACUGGGUCUGACUAAAAUAAAGGAGUGAAUGAGGAAUUCAAGCAAGAAUGAGGAAAUAUGGAGUCACAGUAAGAGAUGAUUUUCAAGAAUGUCCCUGGACAGCCCCCAGAUGCACCACAUCAAAUCUGCAUCUGCAGUGCCAUCUUUUUUUUUCUUUUUUUUUUUUGGUAAAACCAAAAAGUUUACGUUUGGAAAAAUAAUAAAACUUUAAAAACUUCAAGUUUGUAUGGGCAGCACAAGUUGGACUU